This is a long non-coding RNA of Bos taurus (domestic cattle), 896 nucleotides long. The record is from Ensembl. Lineage: Eukaryota; Metazoa; Chordata; Mammalia; Artiodactyla; Bovidae.
GCCCCGAUGGUGAUCGUGAGUGAUGGCAAGAGGAUUUAGCCUCAGCAUUAACUUGGAGCGGAGUGCAGGGGGGCAGUGAAGCGCCCCGGCCAUCUGGCCCCCGCCGCGCCCCGGGGGGGGGGAAUGCCCCGGCGCCCCGACGAGCCGCCGCGAAGCCCACCCGGGCCGGGGGCUGCCCGGUGCCCGAGCGCGGGUCCUCUCCGAGCCGCCCAGGGGGCCCCAAAAGUUUGCACUUGUUAGCGGCGACCUCCGGCUCGGCCCCCGGCGGGCGAUGCGGGCGGCGCGGGCGGCCCCCUCCCCCGGCCCGCGUCUCCGGGACGGCUGCGGGCGGCCCCCCCGGGGGCCGGAGGGCUCCCCAGCCCCGAUCUGACAGCCACAGAGGCGGCGGGGGAAGGAGCAGCGGCUCGCAGCCCUCGGCCUUCGCCCCCACCCAGCGCCAGCCGGACGGGGGAGCAGAGCGCCGGAGGGUGGCGGCCUCCGGGGUCUCCGCUCCGGGAAGCCGCUCCGAGCCGGGGUGUUGUUGCUAAUGAGCUCUCUCUUCUCCCUCCCUACAAUGAAAGACAAGCCAGACCCCGGGUACCUGGAUGGAUUGGGAGCUGAAGUCUCAGAAACAUCCUGAUAAGUUGCCGACGGCUACCAGCCGAGGUCAGCUGGCCCUGUUAGCGCCUGUCCCAACCAAAGCAGGCCCAGAUCCGCUGCCCCCCAGGUAACACCUCGGUCGCUUUUUGUGCUCCAGCUGCGUGACUGCUGUCACUUUCAGCCCAUAUGAAAAGAAAUCUCUUUCACUUUGGUGAAAAUGCCAAGGUCCAAAAUGCCACGUCCAGUCCCAUAGCGGGGACGUGUGUGCAGCUCACAGGUACUCCACCUGAUUUUGUUUUAUCUUUACAACGCAGGCC